This 1706-nucleotide long non-coding RNA is filed under the name Gallus gallus (chicken). The record is from RNAcentral. Lineage: Eukaryota; Metazoa; Chordata; Aves; Galliformes; Phasianidae.
CUGGCUCUCAGAUUGCCUGAGAUCGUUUCCUCCCCCUUCUUGGUAUUUGCAAAUAAAGUAUUUACAGUUGAAUUCGGGUGGCAGCCUGUGUUGCGUCGGGGUGUUUCGGAGGAUGCUGUGGGUCAGCAUGGCCCUGUGCUGCUGCAGGAAGAUGGGACACUGCCACCGCAGCCCCAGAAACCGAGGGGGUCACUGCAAGGCUGUCAGCCACAGCUUGUUACCUGAGCGACGGGCAGGAACAAGGACUGAAAUCAGAGAGCUACACAGAAAAUCUCACUGCGUUCAGAACUGUGGUCUGUCCUGCAUGCUAACUGCUGUCAAUUACUUAUUUUUCGCAUCCUGGGCAUUGACAUCAGCUGACGAGAUGCUUUGAGAUCUAACCUGAACCAUCCCAAACGUGUUCCCCUGCCAUCUGCCCAGAGAGCAGGGAACACCAGUCCAGGAGUCAACCUUGGGGGGGUUCAAGAGCAUCCGUAUGCUUGCAUCCGUGGACCACUGUAUCUAGAAACUUUCCCUGCUGGCAGACACACGUCCCUGCUUGGCUCACACACCUGGCACUUCUCCACCCGUCCCCUUCAGCAAAGGUGUUUGAGUUGCUCACGGUGGUACAGCCUUGGUGACAUCGCUGCCAGCUCUGCGACAAGAAGACAGCACUCUGGUGUCCUCCGUCAUGUCAUCCCUAUGGAGCCCAGGGACAAAACUUCAUGAGUCUGGCCAGGAGAAGCAGGAGAGAGCUGAUAACCCCAUCCCUUCCACGUCUUGGGCUUACGGUAACCUCGGAUGCCACGGGGCAAAUUCCGCAGUGCUGCUUAAGGUGCCAUAAUUUAGAGCCUCUCAGCUUUGCUAAGGCUCCCUGAGUACCACGUGCCCCCUGUCUGCUGAUGCAUAAAGUAACCUGAAUCAGUGUAAUUUAUGCACCAAUGAAAAGGUGCAAGCUAAAAUACCUCCCAGCCUAAAAUAGCCUCUAAGUGAGAAGAGGGAGAGGAAGGGGCAUCUUAGCUUUAUGCCCCAUAGAGCACCAGCUCUGAAUUUGGCCCUGGGCCUCAAAGCUUUUAAAAACAGAGUAAUUUUGAUUUGGAGGAGGUCACACGUGCUCUUGUGCACAUCUCCCCUGCUUUAUUUGAGUCCUGGCCCACGCGAGGAGAGCAAGAGCAAGCUGAGGGCUGGCAGAGCUGCAUGCUGGUGCUUGGCAAGCUGAUUUUCCACCUCUUGUUGCUACCCUGCCUGUGUGCAUCUCUGCAAAGCAGAGAUAGAGCAGGGCCAUUCCCCUUGGUAGCAACAAAGCAGCAGCCCCUCCACACGUCAGCAGCUCAGCACGUUCCAUAUGACCGUCUUUUAUCACAUUGGUGCUCCCUUUAAGCACAGGACAAGUUGUUUUCCAUCCGUGCAGCCGUCUCAGGACCACAUGGAUUUACUGCUAUCAAUGCUUUGUGCUGACCCGAAUAUUUCCAAAAUUUAUGUCACCCUGCCCAGUGCACACUUAGUGCUUAAUUGUCACCGCAGGCACUGCUAAUAUCCAUACCCUGUGACCUGUCUGCAACCCAGGCCAGUCAGUGCUGCUGUGACGUGUGCUGGCAAUGGUGAGCGUCACGGCUGAUGCCUGGCUGUGACAUUAUGUGCCUGUGACAUGUGCAUCAACCUCGGGGUAAGUGAGCUGAUGUAGAAAGCAAUGAAUAAACGUCCUCAGGUUUGAGGAGGGGAUGCUG